This 166-nucleotide ribosomal RNA is filed under the name uncultured bacterium. RNAcentral describes it as "partial 16S ribosomal RNA". It matches the Rfam family "Bacterial small subunit ribosomal RNA", at positions 338 to 497 of the family's 1533-position model. The record is from RNAcentral.
CCUACGGGAGGCAGCAGUGGGGAAUUUUGGACAAUGGGCGCAAGCCUGAUCCAGCAAUGCCGCGUGCAGGAUGAAGGCCUUCGGGUUGUAAACUGCUUUUGUACGGAGCGAAAAGGCUUCCACUAAUACUGGGGGCUCAUGACGUACCGCAUGACGAGACAAGCUC